RNAcentral lists this ribosomal RNA (363 nucleotides) under Triticum aestivum (bread wheat). RNAcentral describes it as "partial small subunit ribosomal RNA". The record is from RNAcentral. Lineage: Eukaryota; Viridiplantae; Streptophyta; Magnoliopsida; Poales; Poaceae.
AUGUUAACUUCAGUACCUACCAAAAAGUUUGGGGAUUUUCAUUUCCUUGAAGAACUGGAUGUGCGCUAUUGUCCAAACAUCCGCCUACAAAGAUUGGUUUCACCGUCCCUUAAGAAUCUUAGUCUGCGGGAUUCUGUUCUCUUUUACAAAAUUGACUGCUGCUCCCUCACCGACUUUCGCUUACAUUGUUCUUCUGGCACAUCCAUCCAACUACAAAUGUGGAGUCUUCCAUCUCUUCGGGAGCUAACCAUUAGGUGUUCGUCACUUACAUCUAUUGGAGGAAGCAUUACAGCAUUGUCGUCCCUUAAUGUCCUAAGUAUUUCUUUCUGUUCUAUAAAUUGUCAACCCUUGACAAUCUCCUAA